Molecule: ribosomal RNA, 442 nt
Filed under: uncultured bacterium
Lineage: Bacteria
Description: partial 16S ribosomal RNA
Rfam family: Bacterial small subunit ribosomal RNA
Source: RNAcentral
CCUACGGGGGGCAGCAGUAGGGAAUCUUUCACAAUGGGCGAAAGCCUGAUGGAGCAACGCCGCGUGCAGGAUGAAGGCCUUCGGGUUGUAAACUGCUUUUAUAAGCGAGAAAUAUGAUGGUAACUUAUGAAUAAGGAUCGGAUAACUACGUGCCAGCAGCCGCGGUCAUACGUAGGAUCCGAGCAUUAUACGGAGUGACUGGGUGUAAAGAGUUGCGUAGGUGGCAUAAUAAGUAGCUAGUGAAAUCUGGUGGCUCAACCAUUCAGACUAUUAGCUAAACUGUUAAGCUCGAGACCGUUAGAGGUAACUGGAAUUUCUAGUGUAGGAGUGAAAUCCGUAGAUAUUAGAAGGAACACCAAUAGCGUAGGCAGGUUGCUGGGACGGUUCUGACACUAAGGCACGAAAGCGUAGGGAGCAAACGGGAUUAGAUACCCCUGUAGUC